Molecule: transfer RNA, 71 nt
Filed under: Marmota monax (woodchuck)
Lineage: Eukaryota; Metazoa; Chordata; Mammalia; Rodentia; Sciuridae
Description: tRNA.Gly
Rfam family: tRNA
About the family: Transfer RNA (tRNA) molecules are approximately 80 nucleotides in length. Their secondary structure includes four short double-helical elements and three loops (D, anti-codon, and T loops).
Source: RNAcentral
GAGGUUGUGGCUCAGAGGUAGAGCGCUCGCCUACCAUGCGUGAAGGACUGGGUUCGAUCCUUAGCACCACA